AUGCUUACCUGGCAGCAGAGACACCAUGGUCACAAAGGCAGUGUCCUCAGGGUAAGCACUCCAAAUGUGCUGCCCUUUUGAUCACCCCAGAUAAGGGAAACUCAGCUGCAGAAUUAGUUGGGC
Molecule: small nuclear RNA, 123 nt
Organism: Cricetulus griseus (Chinese hamster)
Lineage: Eukaryota; Metazoa; Chordata; Mammalia; Rodentia; Cricetidae
Gene: U1
Rfam family: U1 spliceosomal RNA
About the family: U1 is a small nuclear RNA (snRNA) component of the spliceosome (involved in pre-mRNA splicing). Its 5' end forms complementary base pairs with the 5' splice junction, thus defining the 5' donor site of an intron.
Source: Ensembl